AUUGAACGCUGGCGGCAUGCUUUACACAUGCAAGUCGAACGGCAGCGCGGGCUUCGGCCUGGCGGCGAGUGGCGAACGGGUGAGUAAUACAUCGGAACGUGCCCAGUAGUGGGGUAUAGCUCGGCGAAAGCCGGAUUAAUACCGCAUACGACCUGAGGGUGAAAGCGGGGGAUCUUCGGACCUUGCGCUAUUGGAGCGGCCGAUGGCCGAUUAGCUAGUUGGUGGGGUAAAGGCCUACCAAGGCGACGAUCUGUAGCUGGUCUGAGAGGACGACCAGCCACACUGGGACUGAGACACGGCCCAGACUCCUACGGGAGGCAGCAGUGGGGAAUUUUGGACAAUGGGCGAAAGCCUGAUCCAGCAAUGCCGCGUGUGUGAUGAAGGCCUUCGGGUUGUAAAGCACUUUUGGCGGGAACGAAAAGGACUGUGCCAAUACCACGGUUCGAUGACGGUACCCGCAGAAUAAGCACCGGCUAACUACGUG
RNAcentral lists this ribosomal RNA (484 nucleotides) under uncultured bacterium. Its description in RNAcentral is "partial 16S ribosomal RNA". It matches the Rfam family "Bacterial small subunit ribosomal RNA", at positions 30 to 507 of the family's 1533-position model. The record is from RNAcentral.